This 9701-nucleotide long non-coding RNA is filed under the name Olea europaea subsp. europaea. Lineage: Eukaryota; Viridiplantae; Streptophyta; Magnoliopsida; Lamiales; Oleaceae. The record is from RNAcentral.
AUUCAAUCCCAUUCCAUUCACUACUUUCUCCGCCUCCUCCUUCCAGUUUUAGCUCCGCUGUCUCCGCCUCCUCCUUCCAGAGCUAGACUUCUCAUUUUCCAUUGCUACUGGCCUCGCCUGCUCUCUAUCUCAUCCUGUUUGUUCGAUUUGAUCGUCAACGCUUAUAGUAGCAGCAAAAGCAGAUGCAGUCCUGACCGCCUGAUGUCGGUGAUUCUUCGGCUGCAGUAGAAGAACUGAAGAAGAAGGUGAAGCCCUUAGCCCUGAAUCAAUUCCCGAACCUGACACUAAUUUUUCCUUAUUUAUUUUUUGUUCUUUUGAUUUGCCCUAUAUUCUGGUUGUUGCUUUAGUAAUUAGAUGGCAUGAUUUGUGAUUUAUAUGGCAGUAUCCUGAUUAUGUUUUUGAUGUUGCUUUAAAGUAGUAUCCUGAUUAUGGCCGACUGAUUUGCCCUAUAUUCUACGUAGGGCCAAUUUCUAGCAAACACCAAGUUCAAACCAGGCUCAGUUUCACCUAUUAAGUCGACACCACCAAGUAUUGAGACAACUCCAAACCACCAACACCUAUUUCCCACCUCCGAUUGCUAUUGGUUGGAGAAGAUGAAGAACGAUAAUAUGCCCACUUCCAAUGAACCACAAAGGUCACAGAGAAGAGAAGAGAGUCUCAAAGAGAGAGGUUGGGCAUUCUUCAUUUUGGAGGCCGAGAGGAAGACAAGAAUAUAAGCCAAGUAAAUAUCCAAACAAGGUAAGUUAGGUUAGGGUUAUUUAGUGGACCAAACAAGGCUCUACUCAAAAAUAAUGGGCUUCAAAUUAAUAACAUAGCUUUCCAAGGAAAUGGGAUGAACCGUGAGCAAUACUAUUAACAAUAGGUUGCUUCGAACGGUCCAUAGGAAUGUGGAUUGGGUUGUCUCAAUAAUUGUGUCGAUAUACUAAUCAAUCAUAUGGCCAAGGUCGAUUGAUAAUGGAACCGGGGUUACAUCAUUGCCCGGGGGGUCGUUUGACAACAAAUUGCCUAAAAAACGUCCACAUUGGUGUUAAAGGACCUGCAAAAGAAAAAAUGUCUCCCAUUAGUGAUACAUCUAAUAGAAAACCGAUAAAAUUGGAAAUCAUUUACCUGUACCAAUAUUUAGAAGUUCCUUGCAAUUUCUAAACUUUGCCAGUGGCAGUACCUUCGUCCCCAUAUCAGAGGGGUUGUAGUGGGUAUGGACCUUUUCAAGUCUUACCACCUCUUGAGAUACUAUAUCUCUAAUGAAGUCUAACAUCACUAUGUUUAGUGCAUUCAUGAAAAACGGGAUUUUUGCAUAAAUGUAUAGAUGACUGACUAUCAUAAUACACUACCACAUAAUCAUUCAAGACACAUAGUUCAUGAAGAAGGCCUCUAAGCCAUAGAUCUUUUUUAAUAGCUUCAAUGGUAGCAAUAUAUUCUGAUUCUGUAGUAAAUAGUUCAACAAUAUGUUGUAACUGUGAUUUCCAACUAACACAUGAAUUAGAUAAGGUAAACACGUAAGACAAAGUAGAUAUCCUACCAUCCCUAUCUCCCGCGUAGUCAGCAUCUACAAAACCCUUUAAUUUUAUACCUUCUUUAUUAGCACUAAACUUUAAACCUACGUCACUUGUACCCAUCAAGGACUUUAAUAGCUACUUUAGCGUUUCCUAAUGUUCAGGGCCUGAAUUAGCCAUAUAUCUACUGAGAGUACUAACAGCAAAACCUAAAUUCGGUCUAGUGCAAACCAUCAAAUACAUUAUGGAACUACUCACAUUAGAGUAAGGCACUCUACUCAUGUAUUCUACUUCACGCUUAUUGCAAGGGGAUUAUUCCUUCGAUAAAACAAAAUGAUUAGCAAGAGGCAGCGUGACAAGUUUGCAAUCACUCAUAUUAAAUUUCUUCAAUACUUUGGAUAUGUAUGGAGACUGAUGGAAAAACAAAACAGAAUUUGACCUAUCUCUUUCGAUUUCAAUACCUAAGAUUCUCUUAGCCUUACCUAGGUCUUUCAUGUCAAAUUCACCACUUAGCUUUGCUUUUAUGUUAUUUAUCCACUUAGAGGAUGAUUCAAUCAAAAGCAUGUCGUCCACAUAUAGCAACAAAAACAGAUAAUUAUCAUCAGUCUCAUUGUGUUGAGAAUAUAGGCAGUGAUCAAAUUUAUUUCUUUGGAACCCUAUAGUAAGUACAAAGGAAUCAAACCUCUUGUACCACUGUCUACGAGAUUGUUUUAACCAAUACAAGAAUCUUCUCAGAAAAUACACAUAAUCAGGUUUUAACUUAUCCUUAAAACCUUUUGGUUGAUUCAUGAAAAUUUGUUCAUCAAGCUCACCAUGUAAAAAAACAGUUUUUACGUCAAGUUGUUCAAGUUCCCAGUCAAAGUGUCCAACCAAUGCGAGCAUGACCCUAAUAGUGGUGUACUUAACAACUUGUGAGAAAUUUUCAUUAUAAUCAACACCCUCCUUCUGUGUAUAGCCUUUAGCUACUAACCUAACUUUAAACCUUAGGGGUUCCGAGCUAUUAGUACCUUCCUUAACCUUAAAGACCCAUUUGCAAUCAACAAUUGAUUUGUUCUUAGGCCUAGGUAAUAGCUCCCAAGUAUGAUUCUUUUCUAAAGAACUCAUCUCUUCUUUCAUUGCCUUAAGCUGUUCAUUAGAUUGAUCACUGCCUAUUGCCUCUUCCAAGGUCUUUGGCUCUUUAUCAGCUAGUUAUUCAUAACUAGCCUGGGUGAAAGCUAAUUCAAAUUCAAAACCUAACCUUCUAGGUUCUCUCGUUUGUCUCCUCUCUCUAUCCCUCACUAAGUUAUAGUUAACUAAAGGAUUUUCUUCCUCAUAGUGCUCUUUUGUCAUUAUUUCAUUACUAUUCUCCACCUUGGGUUCCUGAGCUUAAGUCUCCACCUCACUUGAAGCAGUAGGGGUAGGUGGACUGAGAUUUCCUAACUCCACCUUAAAUUGGUCUCUCUCUUCACCUGGUUCAGCUUCACUCUCAGGUUCAGUUUCCCCUUUAAUACACGGCAUCUCAUUUUCGUUAAACGUGACAUCUCUACUUAUGAUGAUCUUCACCCCUUUUUGGCUUCUAUCCCAUAACCUAUAACCCUUAACACCCUCGGGAUAUCCUAGAAAGACACACUUCCUAGCUCUAGGUUCCACCUUAUCCUCGCUUUGAUGAGAAAAAGCUGUGCAGCCGAAAGUUCUAAGCAUCGAGUAAUCACUCAAUUUACCUGACCAUCUCUCAUGCGGAGUGUCACCAUUCAAUGUAGCAGAAGGAGUCAAAUUAAUCAAAUAACAAGCGGUCAUAACAGCCUCACCCCAAAAUGACUUAGGAACACCAAAACUACUUAUCAUGCAACGUACUUUAUCAAGUAUGGUCCUAUUCAUCCUUUCUGCUACCCCAUUUUGCUAAGGAGUGUAAAGAACGGUCUUAUUUCUAGUUAUGCCGCUUUCUUUACACAUACUAUCAAAUUCUUUAUUGCAGAACUCUAGGCCGUUAUCUAUCCUUAAAAACUGAUUUUCUUGCCAGUUUUGUUUUCUACUUGUCUCUUCCAAUUGUUAAAACUAUUAAAGGUCUCAGAUUUAUCCUUCAAAAGAUAGACCCAUACUUUUCUAGUGUAGUCAUCGAUAAUAGAUAGGAAAUACCUAUUCCCUCCCGAUGUAGGAUUACUAGCAGAACCCCAUAGAUCAAAGUGCACAUAUUCGAGUACGCCUUUAGCUCUAUUAACACUCGUGGAGAAAGAAGUUUUAUGGUGCUUACCAAGCACACCAUGAUCACAAAAUGGCAAAUCUGACACACAAUCAUUAUCAAAAGUACCUUUUUCGUUAAGUAGCUUAAGUCCCUUGACCCCUACGUGAGCAAGUCUAUUAUGCCAUGUGUGUGUGUGAUCAAUCUUGGCAGAGGAGAUAGAGGGGUUCACACCUCUAAUCACUUCCCCAGUAGUAAUAUAUAUAUCAUUUUUCUUAAUUCCCUUAAUGGAAACUAAAGCACACUUGAUCAUUUUUAGCAUACCAUUUCCAAUUUUACCAGUAAAGUCAUCCUUCUCAAGUCUCCCUACUGAAAUCAGAUUCCUAGACAACUCAGGAAUAUAUCUAAUGUCCUUUAACGUAUACACAAAACCUGUGUCAAAUUUUACGUUUAUUUCACCAAUUCCAGCAAUAGUAUAGGCAAAGUUAUCACACAGCAUAACAUACCCAACAUUAGAUUCAUGCAGCUUAUAAAACUAAUUCUUUUCAGACGUCACAUGAAAAGAUGCACUAGAGUCAAAUAUCCACUCAUGCAUGUGGGAAUUAGCAGUUAGAUUUAAUUCAGCAGUGUAUGCAACUGGACUUGUAAUCAUAAAGACCUCACCACCAUUUAUAUCGAAAGUAGAUGCUAACACAUUGACCUCAUCUCUCUCCUUAAUCUUUAACUUACCAUUCUCCUUAUGACAAUCUUUUAUAAAAUGCCCUGUAUUUCCACAACCAUAGCAUUUUCUCACCUUAAUCCUAGAUUUUGAUCUAGACCUACCUUUGCUCUUCUUUUUCCAUCCAUUACCACUUGACACGCCACUAGUUUGAUAUUCAUCAUGACUAUUUGCCUAAAUUGAGUUCUACCCCGCAUCAUAUGUACCUCACCAUUCCUCUUAUCAUGUUUUUCAGCCCUAAUUUCCAUUUCUUUACUUCUAAGGGAAUCUAUGACAAUUUCACGUGUGUUCUUAACUUCCUUAUAGGAAUCAGGAAUUGCACUGAGAAAAAUUAUAGCCUUAUAAGUUUCGAACACAAUCUCAUCACAAUUAACUAUAUCUUGCACCAAUUUGUUAAACACGUCCAAAUUGUCAUCAAGAUCCUUUAAAGGAUCCAUUUUGAAACUGAAAAAACGUUCAAGCAGGUAAAGUUUAUUCGGUGUAGACUUAAGCAAAUACAAGUCUUCUAAUUUUUUCAAAAGUUCUUUAGUGGUUUUCAGUUUACCCACCUUUCUUAGAAUGGCGUCAGACAAGUGUAAAAUAAUUGAGUUAUAAGCAAGCUCAUCGGCUUCUUCUCUUUGUUCUUGUGAAAAAUUAGUUGAAAAUUUGCCUUCAAUGGCCUUUGAAACCUUUUGUUGGACUAGAAUGCUCUUCAUUUUUUGUUGCCAAAUAGCAAAGUCACCCUUUCCAUUAAAAAUUCCCAAAUUAAAGUUGUGAGUUGUCAUCUUUACACAACAGUCAAAAAUGCACAAACCACACACAGUAGUCCUAGGGUCAUGACAGUAUACACCGUUCUAGAUUCUCAGGGUUUCGUAAGACUCGCGGUCUUAGAUCAAGGGAAUGUUCGAACAGGUAAGGCCAUGGUAUUUCUAACAGAAUAAGUAAACAAUGAAAAUAACAAUACAGCAAAAAAUACGUCUAGCAGAUAACUAGUCUCAUAGCAAUUAGGUCACUAAGAAUUACAAAACUAAUUUUAACCCAAAACAAAUACUCAAUCAAAAACAAUCAAGAGCACGUAACCCUAAUUCUAGCUAAAGAAAUGGUUGUCAAGCAAUGACAAUCCCCAACCUAUUGUCAUCCCACACAGUGAUGCGCUAAUACUGAAAAUUAACGGGUUAAGCCAAUUUACCAGAGUGGACGUGUCUGAGUCCGUAUAAUUGAGAGAUAUGCGAAUCUACUCCUUUAGGGUCGCAAUCUUGACCUAAAGUAAUUCAGUAGAUAUAUGCAGUUUCAACCGUCGAUCCACCAGGGGCAAAAUUGUUCAACUUUUUUUGUGUAACCUAAAACAGAAAAUAAACAGUGUCAAUGCAUUCAAGGGAUUGAAAUGAGCAAACUGCCCGAAGGAAGUUCGCUCGAAAUCACCGCCACGCGCCGCCGCAGGAGUUCGCCGUCGCCACCAUGCGCCGCACUAGAAGGGGCGCCUCAGCCUGCUGGUUUGGGGUAUGGGGUCUAUUUCGCCAAAAAGUUUCUGGUUUGGCCGGAAAUCGCGAUUGCAGGUUCGAUCCUCUAUGAAAAUCAUGCACACCGCCUACAUUUUUAGUGGUUUUCUGGUUGGAGAAGGUGACUCUGGCUUUGAUACCAGUUGUAGGGCCAAUUUCUAGCAAACACCAAGUUUAAAUCGGGCUCAGUUUCACCUAUUAAGUCGACACCACCAAGUAUUGAGACAACUCCAAACCACCACCACCUAUUUCCCAUCUCCGGUUGCUAUCUAUUGGGGAAGAUGGAGAACAAUAAUAUGCCCACUUCCAAUGAACCACAAAGCUCACAAAGAAGAGAAGAAAUCGAGAGGAGAGUCUCACAGAGAGAGGUUGGGCAUUCAUCAUUUUGGAGGCCGAUAGGAAGACAAGAAUAUAAGCCAAGUAAAUAUCCAAACAAUGUAAGUUAGGUUAGGGUUAUUUAGUGGACCAAACAAGGCUCGACUCAAAAAUAAUGGGCUUCAAAUUAAUAACAUAGCUUUCCAAGGAAAUAGGACGAACCGUGAGCAACACUAUUAACAAUAGGUUGCUUCGAACGGUCCAUAGGAAUGUGGAUUGGGUUAUCUCAAUAAUUUUGUCGAUAUACUAAUCAAUCAUAUGGCCAAGGCCGAUUGAUAAUGGAACUGGGGUUACAUCAUAGCCCGGGGGGUUCGUUUGAUAGCAAAUUGCCUAACAUUCUAGUUGUUGCUUUGAUGUUGUUCAAUUUUCUAGUUUAUCUUGUCAUUUCCAAUUUUUCAAGGCUUUGUGAGAUCCUUAUUAGCCAUUGGUAGAGCUUGGAUAUGCUGAAGCUAGUCCGUGUUGCCUUGGCGUAACAAUUUUUUUUGACUUUCUGAGAUAUAUUUUGUUUUAUAAAAUUGGUUGAUGUCGUGUCUGAAUUUUGAGGGGGUGAUGCUAAAAUAAGAAUUAAGCUUCUUUAAAUAGCUUACCUUGCUGAUGCAAUUACAGAUUUUCCAAGAAUUGUUAAAUAAAAUUUGGUUACCCUUAAGUUGUUGGAUUAUGUAUUUUCACUAAGUUAUCGUCUUGCUGAUUUCCACGGUUCCUUAGUGUUUUCUUUUUCAUUUUGUGUAUUUGAUGGAUGGAGAGAACAUGUUUGGUUCAGCAAGUGUAUUAGUUUGAGUUGUUAUUCCUAUUAGGGUUCUCACAUAAAAAAGAAAGGAAUAAUUGGCAUCAAAUGAAUAGUAACUACUGCAGAGAAAGCUUACCAAGAAAAAGCACUAGUAGGUGGAAUCAGAACUCAUGCGUUCUCGAAAUCAAAAGGAGAUGCUUAAGCUGUUAGUUACUGAUAUGAAGCCACUUUCUGUUUGGGACAUUGUCCACAGUGGAGCCACUUUCCAGGUAAUGUAGUCUUAGUUUGCUCUAUAUGAUUUUAAUGUAUCCAUGAUAUCUUACUAAUACCUUUUGUAACUCAUAGAUGUGGUUUAGGAUCAGAAAAUUGAUGUAGUGAGUUGACACAUCCCGCCCCGUGUAACACCACUAAAUUUGGACGAGGCAUGCGUCGAUGAUAAAUACCAACUAAAAGUCGGACCCACCAUCAAGGCUACUACAAAUACAAUAUAUCACUUUUUAUACAUCAUUUUUCUAAUAAAAUCUUGGCAUUAUCUCCCUUGUAAACAGGGCUAACCAACCUAUAAUUAAUUUCACACAAAUCCCAAACCAUAGUACAGCACAAUAAUGAUAAGCCAAAUUCUCCACUUUUACCAAGAAAUACAAUAAAAUAUACAUAUGUAUGCAUAAUACAUAGUGAGCCCCAUAACUGUCUAUAAGAUGAUGCAAAAUUAUAUCUAGACAUGAACAUGCGUCCCAAAAACACUGACUACAUGUUCUAUGAAGUGAGUCAUAUUGACAAACUCUGUCGUGUGGCUCUGACUCCAAAAUCAAGGCUCAACUCCAAAAGAUGCCCAGAUUCUCAAUUGCUGCCUGAUAAGAAAAAACGUGGAAAAAUAUAUGAGUUGAUAGUUCAGUGAGUGGAGAAGUUCAAAAUAAAUAUAUUUUUUCAUUUAUAUAUUUUUAUUGAAAAUCAAAUUCAUAUCAUUUGAUAAUUCACAAGCUACCAUCAUGUAAUUAUAGCCAAAAAGUGAAAUAUUUACGUAAGGUCAUAAAAAUAUCAUCUUGAAAUCAUGAUAUAACAUCAGCUGAUAACCAUGCUAUAAUCUCAUAACAUCAAACGUACUGAAAAAUCCACCAAAACUGUAAUCCCUGACUGAAAUAUGUAAUCCUCCUCUCGGGUUAAGAACUUUCGUCAUGGGCCUUUGGCCCCCUUCGUGAACUUAAGCCGGUUUUAAAGACCUCUCAUAAUCAAUUCUAGAACGUGGCCAAGGCCUCUCUGUAAACUAUAUGUACACAAUCAAGACCAAUGUCAAGUCAAGACCCUCCGUGUAUGAUAGAACACGGUCAAGGCCCCUCUGUGAACUAGAAGAAGUAUAUAAUCAUAGGUAUUUUUCUGGCCGAUCUCAAUAUUGCAUAUCUCACAUGCCAAACAAAUCUCAAUAUCACAUGUCUUACGUACCAAGUCACAAAUAUGCCAUAAAUAAUUUUUGAUAUUUCACAUAUAUCAUAAUAAAAAAGAUUUCCAUAAUAACCAUAUAAUUCGAACACAUACUUUGACAAUAUACUUAAUUUAUAAAUAUUUUAAAAAUAUUUAUAUUUUUCCACUCACAGAACUAUGUACGCUAAAAUCAAUUCGAUUGGUACGCUGUCCCAAUAUUCAUAUCGCCACCUGAAAUAUAAUAUAAUUUUUAAAUCAACAAUUAACUAAUUUAAGUAAUUUCAAUAAUUAAAUAGGCGAUACCCAAACAUAAUUAUUUCACAUUUAGGCGAUUUCUAAAGUCUCUUUAAUUACUAAAAUUAAUUUUUCUUUCAUUUUACUCAAUUGCAUAAUUUAUUACACUUAACCCCUUCAAUAAAAUUAAAUUUAACCUAACAAUCUAACAACUAUAAAAUCAAACAUAACUUAACAAUAAGUAACUUUUUACUUACCUUUCAAAAUUGAGAAAUUCAAGUCUAAUAGGAUAGAGCACUUAAUUCCUAACAUGUUGGCAAAUUUUCCCUUCUUUUUCUUCCUCUUUUCCCUUUUUUCUCCUCUUUUUCCUUUCUCUUUUUCUCUCUUUUCCUUCUCUGUACCGUUUUUGUUUUUGGAUGUAAUGUGUAUGUUUUCUUUUAAUUUGGCUUUGGUUGUGUUUAUAUAUAUAUUAAAUUGGAGUGAUUUGUUUUGACAUCCACCGCCUGCCGUUUUUGUUUUUAUCUUUUGAUCUUUUUUUUUUUUUUUGUUUAAUGUAUUACAUGAGCUCUUAACGAUGUUGUAAAUCACCGACUCAGUGGUUCUAUGCCAACCUUGCUUUACAUGUCUGCUAAUGUAAAUUGAACACUCUCUUACAUCUCACCAAUAAAUAUGAAAAGAGAUUAGAUCUGACAUCUGACCAUAAAAUUGCAGUAAACGUAAAUAAUAUAUGAUUUGAUUGAAAUUCAAACACACGGACUUUUUUUUUAUUGAUUCAAUGCUUCUCUUGCAGCUUUGUUGGCCGUCGUGAAUUGUGUGGUGAGCAAAUCGAAGAGUGCACGAAGGACAAUAUGAUCGAGUUUGCCGUUAGAGUAUUAUCCGGAAGCUUGGUAUUGCAAGUGUGGCAACAAGCUCUUCAUGCCUAAGCUGUAUCAAAAUUUUAUUCCUAGUUUUGUUUCACUUUGAAGCUCCUUUGUAUUUAGGUGAUGUUGUAUCACAUUCUAAUGUUCAAGUGUAUGCAAUUCCAAAAUUUGUUCAGGAGAUGUCAUUUUCAAUUUUGAUAGUCAAUUUACAAUUUACAUAAAUUGCUGUAAAAAAAUAA